GAUGAACGCUAGCGGCAGGCCUAAUACAUGCAAGUCGGACGGGAUUCAGGAGCUUGCUUCUGAUGAGAGUGGCGCACGGGUGCGUAACACGUAUGUAACCUACCUUUAUCAGGGGGAUAGCCUCUCGAAAGAGAGAUUAAGCCCGCAUAAAAUCACAGCACAGCAUUGUGUAAUGAUCAAAUAUUUAUAGGAUAAAGAUGGGCAUGCGGAACAUUAGCUAGAUGGCGGGGUAACGGCCCACCAUGGCGACGAUGUUUAGGGGAGCUGAGAGGAUGGCCCCCCACACUGGUACGGAGACACGGACCAGACUCCGACGGGAGGCAGCAGUAAGGAAUAUUGGUCAAGGGGCGGUAGCCUGAACCAGCCAUGCCGCGUGCAGGAAGACGGGCCUACGGGUUGUAAACUGCUUUUAUACGGGAAGAAACCCAGAUACGUGUAUCUGGCUGAAUGUACUGUAAGAAUAAGGAUCGGCUAACUCCGUG
Molecule: ribosomal RNA, 482 nt
Filed under: uncultured bacterium
Lineage: Bacteria
Description: partial 16S ribosomal RNA
Rfam family: Bacterial small subunit ribosomal RNA
Source: RNAcentral